RNAcentral lists this ribosomal RNA (374 nucleotides) under uncultured eukaryote. RNAcentral's name for it is "partial 18S ribosomal RNA". It matches the Rfam family "Eukaryotic small subunit ribosomal RNA", at positions 592 to 976 of the family's 1831-position model. The record is from RNAcentral.
CAAGAGCGUAUGUAAAAGUUGUUGCAGUUAAAAAGCUCGUAGUUGAACCUUGGGUUUGGUUGGCCGGUCCGCUUUUUUGCGAGUACUGGAUUCAACCGAGCCUUUCCUUCUGGCUAACCAGUCGUUUCGGCGGCUGGCGAACCAGGAUUUUUACUUUGAGAAAAUUAGAGUGUUCAAAGCAGGCAUUAGCUUGAGUAUAUUAGCAUGGAAUAAUAGAAUAGGACGUUAUGGUUCUAUUUUGUUGGUUUCUAGGACCAUCGUAAUGAUUAAUAGGGACGGUCGGGGGCAUCAGUAUUCAGUUGUCAGAGGUGAAAUUCUUGGAUUUACUGAAGACUAACUACUGCGAAAGCAUUUGCCAAGGACGUUUUCAUUAA